AUUGAACGCUGGCGGCAUGCCUUACACAUGCAAGUCGAACGGUAACAGGUCUUUCGGGAUGCUGACGAGUGGCGAACGGGUGAGUAAUACAUCGGAACGUGCCUAGUAGUGGGGGAUAACUACUCGAAAGAGUGGCUAAUACCGCAUGAGAUCUAUGGAUGAAAGCAGGGGACCUUUGGGCCUUGUGCUACUAGAGCGGCCGAUGGCAGAUUAGGUAGUUGGUGGGAUAAAAGCUUACCAAGCCUACGAUCUGUAGCUGGUCUGAGAGGACGAUCAGCCACACUGGGACUGAGACACGGCCCAGACUCCUACGGGAGGCAGCAGUGGGGAAUUUUGGACAAUGGGCGCAAGCCUGAUCCAGCAAUGCCGCGUGCGGGAUGAAGGCCUUCGGGUUGUAAACUGCUUUUGUACGGAACGAAAAGUCUUGGGUUAAUACCCUGGGAUCAUGACGGUACCGUAAGAAUAAGCACCGGCUAACUACGUG
This 484-nucleotide ribosomal RNA is filed under the name uncultured bacterium. RNAcentral's name for it is "partial 16S ribosomal RNA". It matches the Rfam family "Bacterial small subunit ribosomal RNA", at positions 30 to 507 of the family's 1533-position model. The record is from RNAcentral.